Long non-coding RNA from Raphanus sativus (radish), 1440 nucleotides. RefSeq lists it as uncharacterized. The record is from RefSeq and is a predicted model, not a curated record. Lineage: Eukaryota; Viridiplantae; Streptophyta; Magnoliopsida; Brassicales; Brassicaceae. The transcript is spliced from 2 exons.
GUUUUGAUAGGUCGAUUAUGUUUGGUGUUUGGUCUGAUUUUGGUUUUCCAUGUUCGGUUAGAUUAUAAGUCAAACGCUGCGUUGAAUAGAUUAAGGUUUCAUUCUUUUCGUUCUUCCAGUCUUCUUUCUCGCCGUCAAGAUUUAAUCUGGAAGCCCAAAGAUUUCUCCUUUCAUAUAUCUCUUAGCCUCCCUUAUCAUUCAACGUAUCUUAAUUUCGCCAAUAAUUAUUAUUCAUAUUUAACUUGGUUACAAUUUCAACCUUUUUGGAUCCUUCAUGUCAAAUCUAUACAUAGGAGAAAUAAGUUCAACGAUGUCGACCUCUCCGUUAUGGUGUCUUAAAAGUUAAUUAUUGCAGGUUCAACACAAUCAGAAAUAUCAAAAGCUUCAUGGAAAUAAUCAAAAGCAGUGGAUCUCAAGGACAUAUGAAUGUGAGUUUCAUCUAAACAUGGAGAUUUGAUUGUAUCCUUUUCGUCUCUUUAGAACUAUAAGUUUUUUUUCUUUCUUGAUCUCGCCUUUUAUUCUUGAUCAUCGUACAUAAUCUCAGCAUCUUUUGGUCUCUUCUCUAAGAUUUGUGUCACUACGAGAAUUCUGUGAUCCACGGUUCCAACUCUAUUGAGCAGGUAACACCAUUCUUUAAACAUACUUUAGUACUCUUAUGUUGUUCCAGAAUAGACUCAACUAAGGUUAGCACUGUUGUCCUCCUCAAAACACAUGAAACUGAUUUUCUUUUCAAGUAUUAGAUUGUGGUCAGAUUUUUUGUGUCCUCCAACAACAUGACUGGUCCAUUGUUUCUUGCACCAGUUUUCCUCACUACUAGCUAUUGCUAACGGAAGGGACAAAAAACAGAGAUGACAAAACUCAUCAAGAAAAAGGCAGCAAGUUUGAUUCUUGAGGAGUUACGUUUUCCUUUCACAAUUCCUCUUAAAAUUUGUAUAUAGUUGUUUCUUUUACUCUGAAGCCCCACAAACCCCCUACAUAAUUUAGAUUAGUAGCGGUGAGAAAAUGGAGCUACCAAAUUGUCCUGAGGAGCUAGCUGGCAAUGGAUAUGUUUUCAAGCUACGUGUGACUCCCUACAGCCUCAGCGUACGUUCACCGUCUCAGCAAUAAGUGAAGCUUCACAUCUUAUUUGGCACUCAGGCAGAGGUAGGAUAAGCAACAGAAUCUGCCAGCAACAUAUAUGAUGCGCCAAAGAUUUCACUGAGACUUGGUGAAGCAAGUCUGCCAGGUUCUGCAGCCGCCAAUAACUAACGCCCCCGUAAGUGAUUCUCGCAAGGCCAUCUAACCGUCAACCCCUCUGUUUCAAUUGUCUAUUUCUACAUGUUUUCUCUGCUUUGAAUUGUGUACUUUGGAUCUCUCUGAUUUGCUGUAAACUAUUUCUUACUGGUGUAAGAAUUACUUUGACUUUAAUAACAAAGGGAGUAACAUGUCUUCACUUAUUAA